Long non-coding RNA from Patiria miniata (bat star), 316 nucleotides. RefSeq lists it as uncharacterized. The record is from RefSeq and is a predicted model, not a curated record. Lineage: Eukaryota; Metazoa; Echinodermata; Asteroidea; Valvatida; Asterinidae. The transcript has 3 exons.
GUAUCGGGACAGACUCAAGGCCUUUAUCUGAUCCAACUGACCAGCCCUGAGGGAAAGAGAUGAUAUAAGUUCAUGAGUAAUGGUCUCCACGAUCCACUGCAUCCUACUGGACGAUGUGACUCCAUCCUGGUACAGGAUUGAUGCCUCACGAUACGUGAUCAAACCCCAGUUCUCCAUCGCACCGGCCGAGAAAUCCGGAAUGGCAAUCAUGUCUACCAAACAAACACCGAAACUCACCACAUCUACCCAAGUAUUGAUGCUGAUCGACGUCUCCAGCGAUUCCACAAAAUGCCACCAGUGUUUGGGAACAAACAGC